This 440-nucleotide ribosomal RNA is filed under the name uncultured bacterium. RNAcentral's name for it is "partial 16S ribosomal RNA". It matches the Rfam family "Bacterial small subunit ribosomal RNA", at positions 338 to 795 of the family's 1533-position model. The record is from RNAcentral.
CCUACGGGUGGCAGCAGUGGGGAAUUUUGCGCAAUGGGGGAAACCCUGACGCAGCAACGCCGCGUGGAGGAUGAAAUCCCUUGGGAUGUAAACUCCUUUCGAUAGGGAAGAUUAUGACGGUACCUAUAGAAGAAGCCCCGGCUAACUUCGUGCCAGCAGCCGCGGUAAUACGAGGGGGGCAAGCGUUGUUCGGAUUUAUUGGGCGUAAAGGGUGCGUAGGCGGUUUGGCAAGUCUUGUGUGAAAUCUUUGGGCUCAACCCAAAGCCUGCACAAGAAACUGCCGGGCUUGAGUAUGGGAGAGGUGAGUGGAAUUUCCGGUGGAGCGGUGAAAUGCGUAGAUAUCGGAAGGAACACCUGUGGCGAAAGCGGCUCACUGGACCAUUACUGACGCUGAGGCACGAAAGCUAGGGGAGCAAACAGGAUUAGAUACCCCUGUAGUC